Molecule: ribosomal RNA, 3183 nt
Filed under: Vibrio cholerae HC-7A1
Lineage: Bacteria; Pseudomonadati; Pseudomonadota; Gammaproteobacteria; Vibrionales; Vibrionaceae
Description: partial 23S ribosomal RNA
Source: RNAcentral
UCAUGAUUAAAUUUGAAUUUGAUGAAAACAAAAGCAGAAGUAAUCUCGAAAAGCACGGUAUUGAUUUUCAUACAGCUCAAGGAUUGUGGAAUGAUUCAGAUCUUAUCGAGAUCCCUGCUAACACGAGUGAUGAGCCCAGAUAUUUGGUUGUCGGCUUACUAAACGGUAAGCAUUGGUCAGGAGUAAUUACCUACCGAGGUACGAAUAUCAGGAUCAUCUCAGUUCGGCGUUCACGGAAAGCGGAGGUAAGCCUUUAUGAAAGCGCAUGAAUUUGAUGCCAAGUUUGAAAGUGACGACGAUGAUAUCGUAAUGGACUUGGAUCUAUCGCAAGCUAAAAGACCGAUGCAUAAGCAAAAACGAGUCAAUGUAGAUUUUCCAGCCUGGAUGCUUGAGUCCUUGGACAGAGAAGCGAGUCGUAUUGGUGUAACACGUCAAUCAAUCAUUAAAAUUUGGCUGGCAGAAAGGUUAGAGAGCGUGUCUCAUCAUUCAAGUGUGAGAUAAACGGCUAACAAAGCAUUUAAGAGGGACUCACAACGCGUGGCAUUUUUGCCAUGCGUUUGUUUUUGUGAUGAAUUUGCUAUGCAUUGAGUGCUUUUGUGCGUUGUUCGCCCCUUAACGCGGCGUUAUAUUUAUUGGAGAUUUUGGUGAAAAUAAAGAAUGUGUUCGCUAUUUUACUGAUAGUGUAUCUGAUACCAAUAGCCGUAUGGUAUUUUGUAAUGGUUGUUGUUAAUGAUUAUGCUUUAAGCACAUUAAAUUCUGACUGGGGAGCGUUUGGGUCAUUUGUUGGCGGUGUACUAUCUCCUAUAUUUUCCUUGGUUUCUGUUCUUUUUGUAAUUAAAUCAAUUAAUGAAAAUAAUACAAACAACAAUAUUGAAAUUGAAUUAAUAAAAAAACAAGAUAGAAGAAACUAUCUUAUUAGUUUAAUAGCUAUAUUUAACAAUAACAUGCUGUCAAAUAUUGACAGCUAUCUAAAUGCAUUCGAUAGACCUAUUCAAAUUGCUGAUAACAAAUUUCAUAUGUUUACUGAUGAAAGUGUAAAGGUUUCUCUAAUGAAGUAUAUGUCUAUUAAGGACUCUAUUAAUGUUAACAAUAAGCUAAUUUUUGACAUGAUUAAUAAUUUUACUGCUAAUUGUGAGAUUUCAUUCAGCAUAAUACUUAAAUAUGUUAAUUCAAUUGAAGGUCUUGAUGAGGUCAAUGAAUUUAUGGAUGUCGUAGAAGCUGCUUUAGAUAAUAAUUUUAUUAAUGCAUUGUUAAGUUUUAGGCUAUAUGAGCAGGCAUGCGGAUGGAGUCAAAAAUCUCCAUUGCUUGAUCAGCUUGUAUCUAUUAAUAAUAAGACAAGAUAUAAAUCUGAGUGGGUUGAAAGGUAUCAAGAACAAAUUGGUGCUAAAUAAAUAUAACAAACGCUUCAAGAGGGACAGCCAACGCGCGGCAUUUUUAUAAUGCAUUGGUUUAUGUGGUUACUGUGUUAUGCGGAAUCUUGGUAGUAGCGUUGUCUGCCCCUUAAGCGGGCGUUAGUUUCUAUCAAGAAAAAUCAUCAAAAGCUCAGGUUCAACGUUUUGAAAAAUCAGCUUUCAAGUUGUCCGACUUGGUUUUUGAGUUUCAGGCUGAUGUUGCAUUGGUAGAAAGUGUUGGAAGUUCAACAGUUUCAAAAUUGCUGAAAAUCAGCAAGCCUCGAAGCUUCAAUGUUGUUGGAUUUUCCACACGGUCAGUUUGGUUUCACAAAUAGCUGCAUCAUCGCUGUGAUCUGGCCUUUCUUUGUCGCCGACUCUUAACCGAGGCCAACUUAACCUUGAUCGUUUUAAGUUUUGGCUGCCAACUUCACAGCUUUUGGUGUUGGACGUGUGCUUGUUCGAUGCAUUUGCGUAAAAUGACUUUCAAGCAAAUGUGUUAAAAAAGUCAUUGCUAAACAUAGGCUACGAAACUAACAAACGCCUCAAGAGGGACUGUCAACGCGCGGCGUUUCCAGUCCCAUUGAGCCGCGGUGGUUUCGGUGGUUUGUGUUUGGGUUUGGUUGUUAUGCGUUGUCAGCCCCUUAGGCGGGCGUUAUUUUGCUUAUUCAAAUCAUGGAGGAAAGCGGUAAGUGUUAUAUGCCAAAGCUUUAAGUAUUGGAGACGAAAUUGGUUUUUUCUCACCAUCUUCACCGGCUACAGCCUUUGCUCCAAAUCGAUUUCAAAGAGCAAAAGCUUAUCUUAAGGCACAGGGAUUUGAGUUAGUUGAAGGUUCGCUUACGGGAAAAUCUGAUUAUUACCGCUCAGGCUCGAUUCGGGAGCGUGCUGAAGAAUUGAAUCAACUUAUUCGGGAUCCGAAUGUCCGUUGCAUCAUGCCUACCAUUGGAGGCAAUAAUAGCAAUUCACUGUUGCCGUAUAUUGAUUAUGAAGCCUUAAGAAACGAUCCAAAGAUCAUCAUUGGUUAUUCAGAUGUCACAGCUUUAUUGCUCGGGAUCUAUGCUCAAACAGGACUUAUCACAUUUUAUGGCCCAGCCUUAGUCGCUUCGUUUGGUGAGUAUCCUCCAUUGGUUGAUGAAACCUUUCAUUCGUUUAUCGAUCUGUUGUGUUCAGAGACGAAUCAAUAUCAAUACACUAUGCCCUCGUCAUGGACAGAUAUUAAGCACGAUUGGGAAACUCAGCAUUCAGCUAAGCCCGUUUAUCCGAAUGAAUGGCAGUUUAUCGGUAAAGGCAAAGUGACAGGCAGAAUUAUUGGCGGGAACCUCAACACCAUGGCUGGGAUCUGGGGUAGUCGAUACAUGCCAGAGAUUAAAGUUGGCGAUAUUUUACUCAUAGAGGAUUCUCUGAAAGGUAUCGAAAAUGUCGAACGUUCUUUUGCACAUCUCGCAGCUUGUGGCGUUUUUGAGCGAGUGAGUGCGAUCAUUUUGGGGAAGCAUGAGUUAUUUGACAACAAAGGUACAGGGAGAACACCUCUGGACGUUUUAAUCGAAGUAUUAGCGGAUAAAAAUGUACCUAUAUUUUAUGGUUUUGAUAGUUGUCAUACGCAUCCGAUGCUCGUCACACCAUUAGGUGUGCGAGGUACAAUCGAUUUCGACAAUCAUACCUUUAAGCUAGAAGAUCGUUGGGUAAAAGCAAAAUAACAAACGCCUCAAGAGGGACUGUCAACGCGUGGCGUUUCCAGUCCCAAUGAGCCGCGGUGGUUGCAGUUCUUGUGUUUGAGUUUAGUGGCAUGCGUUGC